AGACUACACAUUAGACCAAUAUUAAUAAAGACAAAAAUUUAAUCUAUUCUCAAUUUCACCACAGACUAUAAGCAUUAAGAAAAGUUUGACAUUAAACAAAUAGUAUACAUGCGUCUGUGUGUGUCAAAUACAUGUCAAAUACACCACGUGUGUAAUGCUUUUUAUAUUGAUUUAAUGUAUUUCUGUGCAUAAUAAGAAAAACAGUCUGCACUCUUUCUCUAUAUUAUCUAUAAGUGUGGGAAAUUUCAUACUCCUCCAUCUGGGCAUUUUUCGUAAAAAGGGACAUUAAAGCAGACAGCAAGCCUUGAAAACUUAAUAAGUGAUUUGAAGUAUUUUCAGCAGUUUUUUAUUUUUUUUAUUUUUUUGUUUUUUAUUUAAGUUUUUUUUUUCAACAAUGUUUUUGUUGUGUUCAUGUUCAACAAUGUUUGUCAACAAUGUUAUUGUCUUACUACGUUGCGAAUAGGCCACAAUUUUACUUCAUCAGAUCGUUUCGCGUUAAAGUGUGCUUAAUAAAUUUUUUAUCAAACCA
Bombyx mori (domestic silkworm) is the source of this 529-nucleotide long non-coding RNA. RefSeq lists it as uncharacterized. The record is from RefSeq and is a predicted model, not a curated record. The transcript has 2 exons. NCBI's taxonomy places the organism in Eukaryota, Metazoa, Arthropoda, Insecta, Lepidoptera, Bombycidae.